Molecule: small nucleolar RNA, 138 nt
Organism: Tachyglossus aculeatus (Australian echidna)
Lineage: Eukaryota; Metazoa; Chordata; Mammalia; Monotremata; Tachyglossidae
Source: RefSeq, a predicted model, not a curated record
GACCUCUCAGGGUCACACCUGCAGAGUUUCCAGUCCUCUACCAGUCUCGGCUACGGGAGGGAGAGUCAUGCAGAGGCCUAUAGAUUCCACUCCUACCUUGGCCAGUGGCUAGCGAGUGGAAGACAAUCUGCUACAAGU